GACGAACGCUGGCGGCGUGCUUAACACAUGCAAGUCGUACGGUAAGGCCCUUUCGGGGGUACACGAGUGGCGAACGGGUGCGUAACACGUGAGUAACCUGCCCACAACUUUGGGAUAACGCUAGGAAACUGGUGCUAAUACUGGAUAUGUUCUCCUGCUGCAUGGUGGGGGUUGGAAAGCUCCGGCGGUUGUGGAUGGACUCGCGGCCUAUCAGCUUGUUGGUGGGGUAGUGGCCUACCAAGGCGGCGACGGGUAGCCGGCCUGAGAGGGUGACCGGCCACAUUGGGACUGAGAUACGGCCCAGACUCCUACGGGAGGCAGCAGUGGGGAAUAUUGCACAAUGGGCGCAAGCCUGAUGCAGCAACGCCGCGUGCGGGAUGACGGCCUUCGGGUUGUAAACCGCUUUCAGCAGGGACGAAGCUUUUUGUGACGGUACCUGCAGAAGAAGCACCGGCUAACUACGUG
This 465-nucleotide ribosomal RNA is filed under the name uncultured bacterium. RNAcentral describes it as "partial 16S ribosomal RNA". It matches the Rfam family "Bacterial small subunit ribosomal RNA", at positions 28 to 507 of the family's 1533-position model. The record is from RNAcentral.